This 89-nucleotide unclassified non-coding RNA is filed under the name Pseudomonas sp. NFACC45. Lineage: Bacteria; Pseudomonadati; Pseudomonadota; Gammaproteobacteria; Pseudomonadales; Pseudomonadaceae. The record is from RNAcentral.
UGUGGGAGCGAGCCUGCUCGCGAUGGCGGCGUGUCAGCCAAUACUCAUGCGGCUGAUCCACCGCCAUCGCGAGCAGGCUCGCUCCCACA